Molecule: long non-coding RNA, 976 nt
Filed under: Calidris pygmaea (Spoon-billed sandpiper)
Lineage: Eukaryota; Metazoa; Chordata; Aves; Charadriiformes; Scolopacidae
Description: lncRNA (ENSCPGG00000015113.1)
Rfam family: mir-34 microRNA precursor family (bases 400-477)
Source: RNAcentral
UAGAACUGCAGGACUCUAAUUCGAGCAUUCAGUUUUAUGUACUUUUUUCCUACUUGCAUUUGAAUGUAUUGUAGGAGCAGUGACCAGGCAUCAAAACGACGCCCAGCCUGCCUGAAGCAAUCUUCUCCCUGAAAUAAGAAUCCUUCACCCAGUGGACAAGAGAAGGCUCUGGGUGAAAAGGUUACGGUCAAGAAGUGAUUUGUUAAUUAAUUGGUGCUGUCUCCUGGGACACAGGGAAUGGAGCCCUCGUUCUGUUAUCACAAUGCCUGGCUGUUCCACGUGUAUAACAGGAAAGUCAAAUGGCUUUAGUACAAACUCUUGCCUUCUGUGAAAGAGAAGAGAGGAGGAGCUCCAGCAACCUGCCCUCGCUUCCCUCCGUGUGUGAUGCCAGCUGUGAGUGUUUCUUUGGCAGUGUCUUAGCUGGUUGUUGUGAACAAUAGUCAAGGAAGCAAUCAGCAAGUAUACUGCCCUAGAAGUGCUGCACAUUGUUGGGCCUGCCUCAUCUCCCUGGCUCGAGAGGUGGCUGGGGAUCCAGGUCGGGAUGCUGCCCGGGUGUACUGUGUUGUGCUGGAGCUUGGGGUGUCUGAUGGAGCAGAGCACUAACGUGAGAAAUGCCACGUGGUGCUUGAUGAUGUGGUCACUGCCUCAGAGAUGAGACGGAGAAAAGAGAAGAUAAACGUGUUGCAAGUUGCUUUGCUUUUUCUUUGUCCUUCCCGCAUCCAUCUUCCUGAGAGUAAAAUACCACCUUGUUAGUAACACUACAAAAAUACAACAUUAGAAAGGGCCUGCUUUUAGGAAGAAUUCACCCAAACCUCAAUCUCAGGCUGGUAAUGAGAAGCUAAACUUGGCUUUAAACCUAGCAUGGGAGCAACUUGCCUGUAAUCACUGUUUCUCCUGGGUGCUGGUCAGCAGGUAUGCAUUGCAAGCACAUGAACUCAGGUGCCCAAAAAUGUCGCUGAUCUUUCUGGGGAAGAAU